GAAUGUGUCAAGAGAGGAAUCCCGUUUUGGAGAUGAGAGAAAAUUGACCCUUCUUCGAGCUAUCCCAUCAACACACGUGCUAUUUGGCACCAUGCAGUCCCAACUAACAUGUGGUGAGCAUUUUCUAGCAAAACGACCUUUGCCUCGUGGAGAGUCGUUGACCCCGAGAAAAGAACGAUCUUAACGUGGACCGCUGCAUUCUGCUCCUUUCAUCCACUCUCCAGACCGCCCAGUCGGUCGCCAUGACAACCGCCAUUUUCAUCCAAGUGUAAUUCACUGCAAGUGGUUGGUUCCCUGCAGCACGGAUACGAGAAUUUCGAUAAGAACUGCGGAUGGAAUUAGUUGUGAGGUUGAAGUUACUGGAAUAAAUUUUUCCAAAUUUGGUAUUAGUUUUUCGGGGUAAUUUAUUAAACAUAAUCAAUCGUUUUAAGCCGAAAAAGACUGCCGAUGAAAUAUUCGGGAAUUUGAUCUCGUUUUUCUCCUUACUCGUCAUUAAGUGCUGAAAUUGUAAAUUAUUUCAGAAUUCUGCAGUAUAAAUUAUUUGUUUUCUAAAUAAUACAAUAGUUUCAAAUUUUCUAAUGAAUCAGAGCUUUUUACAUCAGAGAUCUUGUUCUUUAACUAUUAGGAAUUAUGUUUUUAUUAUAGGGAAAGAUUCGAAAGAAUGGAGGAAGAAAUGAAAGAUUCGAAAGAAUGGAAUGGUCUUUGAGCAGAAGUUAGAGUAAUAUCUGUUCAAAGACAGGCUGCGAGGGGGGAGGCGAGAGAACUUUUACAAAAGGCAUCUUCAAGAAGAAAUAUUUUUAAGAAACACUGGCAUAUGCGCCUAAAUCAUGUAUUAAAUCGAAGCCAUUGUGUCACAGGAUAUUGCCGAAAAAAUUUCCAUCAGAUCUUCGACUUCUGUUCUGAUAAACUGUGAUUUGUCCACUUAGCCCCAUUUUUCUGGGACACUCUCGAGAGCAAGAAUUACGAGCAUUAACUCUCACAGCCAGCCCAACACGGAUCCUUUCAUCCUACACGAAAAUCACAUUAAGAGAGCUUUGUGAAAUGCCUCUUAGAUCAACCCCGCCAUUCAUCAAAUGCCACCUCAGCCGUGGAGCUUCCAAAAAUAUUUUGAUUUUCGAAGCCAGCUCGAAAAAUAAUCGAGGCAGAAAGCCAAGUUCCAUCCUUUUCCCCGCCGCUCAUUUUUCUUUCCAACUCAGCGUCUCGUGAAUGGGACAAGAUAUACGUAACAACUCCACCCGCAUCAGUUAUCCUUGUCAAAAGAAUCUGUCGUUGUGACACUUUCACGUGACACUGUCACUCGGCGCUAACUUGAAGUAGCGCCAACAUGUGAGCAACUUGUCAGACGUGUUUGCCUUCCUUCCCAUUCACGAAUUCGUUCAGAAACUUGCGUUCUUUUUACUCGAGAACAUGCUAAUGUUUGUUACAGUACCUAGCUUUUAAAUCCAUCAUUCUAUAGGACUCCCAAGUGCUCUAUACCAGCGUUCGUCAACCCUUAGAACUUCACGGACCACUACACAUAUAAUUUUAUAUUUGGCGGACAACUAACAUAAAUUUUAAAAAAAGGUAAAUACAUUUAUACAAUUAUAAUCGGCAAACUACACGCACUUCGGUCACAUUGAAAAAUUACAUGAAAAGUACAAAAAUCUUACCUUCUUGUACAGAAAGCUUCACAUUUCCAUAUCACUGAAAGGAACUUCACGAAAAGCAAGAACAAAUUGGCAAACGCAAAGCGAUAUCAGGAAACUGAUAGUGUUAUGCCGCCAAUUUUUAAUUAUUGUAAACAUAAUAAUCACCGCUUACUCAGCAAUGACGUCAUCGAUCAAUAGUUAGACAAAACAAAAACGCGGAACAAGGAUGCGGAUGAACCAUCUUGUUUAUAAUUCCAUCAAGUUCCAUCCAUAAUAAUCCAUCAAGUUGCCUAUUGACACGGAGAAAAACUGUGUUAUUAAAAACUACAAUAGCAUAUGUUUGUAAUUCAAAAGGAAAGAGAAUUACAGUUCGCGCUAAUAUUGAAUCCAUGGAUGCCAAUUCUCACUUUCAAAUGUCGCUAGAUAUACCUACAAAAGUAGCUAAAAAAUCACUAAAUUCAGAAGGAAUUUCGCUAAAAGUAGAAGCUAAAAUUUAAAAAAAAGUAUAAUCCAUAUUUCAUAAUAGGUUUUGCUAUUCGUCAUUUUUUAAGCUGAAUCUUCAUAAAAAUAUAAAUAAUGUUCCAAUUUUUCUGCGAACCAGCAAAAAGUUAUCACGGACCACCCACCGGUUUGCGACCGCUGCUCUAGAUAUUGGAAGAAGGAGGAAAUCUUCCACUACGCUGUAGGAUCGUGUUUUCUUUGGUAACAUAAACUCUACUAGAUCCUACAAAGAACUUGGUGACUUCUCACACAGGCGUAAAUGAUACCGGCACAAAAGAAGAGUAAAAAUAAAACUCUGAACAGAAAUGGCACGUACUACGUGCUUACAAUAACACCGACAGCUUGUGUUGGAACCUAAGAAUCGUUACACAAUAAAUUUAACGUUUUUCAACUAACACCAAGCUAAGGCUAACUAGGUUGACUCGACAACCUACCCGGCGUGAUACUUAUUUAAAUGGCCAAAAAGGCGUAUCAGCAACUCCGCGUAGCAGCAAGGACAGACUCGUAACGUGCGCUGGCUAGUGAAAACACGCUCUGACUUCACCCGCGUAAAUAUUCACUUCACUUAACUCUAAAUUUGCAUCCUGGCGAGGAAAUGCGAGGGGAAGUUCAGGAGUUCAGAAAAGAUUUAAAAAAAUUUUAAUAAUUGGUUAAUUGAAUUAAGGCAAACCGUACGGUAAAGUAGACAAUAAAAAUUGCAUUGAAUACAGUGAAACUACCUUGAGACGAUCCACGUUUCAGAUGAUUUUAGGAACGCUUCAGAGGUGGUCACUUCAGAGAGCAUAAUAAUCAGUAAUGUUCAAUACGGUUACUUAAUUAUAUAGGUAUAUCCAAAUGAAUCCACUGCAAGAGUAUUGGUAAAGCUCCUUUAACUCAGACUGACUUUUUUAAUUGCACAGAUACGUUGCAGUUUUGCAAUUGUUGAAAGAAAUGGCGGUACUCUUCUUGCAGAGAUUUUCUUGAUGUGAAGAUGUUCAUGUAGAAUACGCAAAACUGUUGUUUUAGAUAGAAUUAAAUCCAAUCUUGCUGCUGUCUCUUUGGCUUUCAAUCUCCUGUUACUCAGUAUUUCCUACGGGGCAAGAGCAAUAUUUGUCGAUGCCAAUAUCUUCAGUGGUCGACCUUAACGAGACUCAUCCACGGAUUGCCAGCCGAUACAAAAUUGGUUUACUCAUCGUUUCCCUGCACAAUAUAGGACGGAGAUAAAUCAUACUCCAAACUUCUUUUUUAUUUCUUUGAGAUUAAGGCCGUCGUUAGUCAAAAACUUAAUCAUUAAACGAAACUCAGCUUUAAACAUUCCAGAAUUAACUAGCAUUGCACUACAUUCAGUAGACAGUAAAAAAAAAAAAAAAAAAAAAAAAAAAAAACUGUUUCU
Stegodyphus dumicola is the source of this 3501-nucleotide long non-coding RNA. RefSeq lists it as uncharacterized. NCBI's taxonomy places the organism in Eukaryota, Metazoa, Arthropoda, Arachnida, Araneae, Eresidae. The record is from RefSeq and is a predicted model, not a curated record.